This 90-nucleotide transfer RNA is filed under the name Elusimicrobiota bacterium. Its description in RNAcentral is "tRNA-Ser". It matches the Rfam family "tRNA". From Rfam's summary of the family: Transfer RNA (tRNA) molecules are approximately 80 nucleotides in length. Lineage: Bacteria; Pseudomonadati; Elusimicrobiota. The record is from RNAcentral.
GGAGAGGUGGGUGAGCGGCUGAAACCGACGGUUUGCUAAACCGUUCUAGGGCGUAAAGCCUUAGCGAGGGUUCGAAUCCCUCCCUCUCCG